Loxodonta africana (African savanna elephant) is the source of this 40-nucleotide long non-coding RNA. It matches the Rfam family "HOTAIR conserved region 1". The record is from Rfam. Lineage: Eukaryota; Metazoa; Chordata; Mammalia; Proboscidea; Elephantidae.
UAUUUUACUGUCGAAAAAAGGAAUCAAUUAAUUAACACCU